GACGAACGCUGGCGGCGUGCCUAAUACAUGCAAGUUGAGCGCUGAAGGUUGGUACUUGUACCAACUGGAUGAGCAGCGAACGGGUGAGUAACGCGUGGGGAAUCUGCCUUUGAGCGGGGGACAACAUUUGGAAACGAAUGCUAAUACCGCAUAAAAACUUUAAACACAAGUUUUAAGUUUGAAAGAUGCAAUUGCAUCACUCAAAGAUGAUCCCGCGUUGUAUUAGCUAGUUGGUGAGGUAAAGGCUCACCAAGGCGAUGAUACAUAGCCGACCUGAGAGGGUGAUCGGCCACAUUGGGACUGAGACACGGCCCAAACUCCUACGGGAGGCAGCAGUAGGGAAUCUUCGGCAAUGGACGAAAGUCUGACCGAGCAACGCCGCGUGAGUGAAGAAGGUUUUCGGAUCGUAAAACUCUGUUGGUAGAGAAGAACGUUGGUGAGAGUGGAAAGCUCAUCAAGUGACGGUAUCUACCCAGAAAGGGACGGCUAACUACGUG
Molecule: ribosomal RNA, 497 nt
Filed under: uncultured bacterium
Lineage: Bacteria
Description: partial 16S ribosomal RNA
Rfam family: Bacterial small subunit ribosomal RNA
Source: RNAcentral